CCUAGCGAACGCAUAGACGAGAAGGAGUAACCUCUGGUUCCGUACAGACCACAGAACAUCUGCUGCCCUCUGAUACUUGAUCUUUUAAUGCAUUCGAACACUUUUUUUUUUCAGACUCUAUCUUUCAUGUUACGUAUACAUACUGCUCAAAACUCGCAUGCGAAUGUGUGUGCUUGGUUCAUGUAUUAAAUUUAGAUGUGGCAAUUUAUCUUCAAUUUGGCAGGUUAUCUUUAUCGACCGUCAAGGCAAGUGCUGUUAAACCGAAUACAUAACCCGUGAUAAUACCAGUAAUGAUAAUAAUAAUAAUGAUGAUUAGCACUCAGUCAUUUUGCUGCCGGAUGAAGGUGUCCAACGCGCAUGCCGUGUUGUUCGUGGGAGUUGACGGACCAUACUUCACCACGCUGAUGCAUGAAAUGCUGGAAAAUGCAGUUUUACUGCUGCAGUCAGAACACACGACGCCCUCCCUCUGCCCCCACACACCGACGAGGAAUAUUGAGGAUCGGAAAAGCUUUCGUGGCCUAAGCAAAGGACCACGCCGUGCAGCCUUGGCAGCUCCGGCUGGAGCCCCGUGGGUCCCGGUGCACGCUGGGAAGCUGCUUUGGCGCACAUGGACCGUGCCAGGCGGACGCGCAUCGCCCUUGGUGAAGCCGCAAAAUAAAGGGUUAAACAAAGCCGGCGAGAAAACAGUGAGAGAGAGAGGGGAAAAAACACCAGCUCACUCAACAAUAUCAAUCUUGCCAAGAGGAAGACAAAAGGAAAGGUCAGGCCCACUUGAGCGACGCAGUUAUUUUUUCCAGAAGCGACCUGGCCACAAGCGAUCGCUCACCGAAGUGGCUGAUUUUCACGUGAACAUCUUUAGCAGUCACCAGAUAAAGGCGUGAGGUUGAUUCUAAAU
Long non-coding RNA from Lethenteron reissneri (Far Eastern brook lamprey), 895 nucleotides. RefSeq lists it as uncharacterized. The record is from RefSeq and is a predicted model, not a curated record. Lineage: Eukaryota; Metazoa; Chordata; Hyperoartia; Petromyzontiformes; Petromyzontidae.